This 1424-nucleotide ribosomal RNA is filed under the name Staphylococcus aureus. RNAcentral's name for it is "16S ribosomal RNA". It matches the Rfam family "Bacterial small subunit ribosomal RNA". The record is from RNAcentral. Lineage: Bacteria; Bacillati; Bacillota; Bacilli; Caryophanales; Staphylococcaceae.
UGCAAGUCGAGCGAACGGACGAGAAGCUUGCUUCUCUGAUGUUAGCGGCGGACGGGUGAGUAACACGUGGAUAACCUACCUAUAAGACUGGGAUAACUUCGGGAAACCGGAGCUAAUACCGGAUAAUAUUUUGAACCGCAUGGUUCAAAAGUGAAAGACGGUCUUGCUGUCACUUAUAGAUGGAUCCGCGCUGCAUUAGCUAGUUGGUAAGGUAACAGCUUACCAAGGCAACGAUGCAUAGCCGACCUGAGAGGGUGAUCGGCCACACUGGAACUGAGACACGGUCCAGACUCCUACGGGAGGCAGCAGUAGGGAAUCUUCCGCAAUGGGCGAAAGCCUGACGGAGCAACGCCGCGUGAGUGAUGAAGGUCUUCGGAUCGUAAAACUCUGUUAUUAGGGAAGAACAUAUGUGUAAGUAACUGUGCACAUCUUGACGGUACCUAAUCAGAAAGCCACGGCUAACUACGUGCCAGCAGCCGCGGUAAUACGUAGGUGGCAAGCGUUAUCCGGAAUUAUUGGGCGUAAAGCGCGCGUAGGCGGUUUUUUAAGUCUGAUGUGAAAGCCCACGGCUCAACCGUGGAGGGUCAUUGGAAACUGGAAAACUUGAGUGCAGAAGAGGAAAGUGGAAUUCCAUGUGUAGCGGUGAAAUGCGCAGAGAUAUGGAGGAACACCAGUGGCGAAGGCGACUUUCUGGUCUGUAACUGACGCUGAUGUGCGAAAGCGUGGGGAUCAAACAGGAUUAGAUACCCUGGUAGUCCACGCCGUAAACGAUGAGUGCUAAGUGUUAGGGGGUUUCCGCCCCUUAGUGCUGCAGCUAACGCAUUAAGCACUCCGCCUGGGGAGUACGACCGCAAGGUUGAAACUCAAAGGAAUUGACGGGGACCCGCACAAGCGGUGGAGCACGUGGUUUAAUUCGAAGCAACGCGAAGAACCUUACCAAAUCUUGACAUCCUUUGACAACUCUAGAGAUAGAGCUUUCCCCUUCGGGGGACAAAGUGACAGGUGGUGCAUGGUUGUCGUCAGCUCGUGUCGUGAGAUGUUGGGUUAAGUCCCGCAACGAGCGCAACCCUUAAGCUUAGUUGCCAUCAUUAAGUUGGGCACUCUAAGUUGACUGCCGGUGACAAACCGGAGGAAGGUGGGGAUGACGUCAAAUCAUCAUGCCCCUUAUGAUUUGGGCUACACACGUGCUACAAUGGACAAUACAAAGGGCAGCGAAACCGCGAGGUCAAGCAAAUCCCAUAAAGUUGUUCUCAGUUCGGAUUGUAGUCUGCAACUCGACUACAUGAAGCUGGAAUCGCUAGUAAUCGUAGAUCAGCAUGCUACGGUGAAUACGUUCCCGGGUCUUGUACACACCGCCCGUCACACCACGAGAGUUUGUAACACCCGAAGCCGGUGGAGUAACCUUUUAGGAGCUAGCCGUCGAA